CAGCACCUCAAGUGGUCAGGAUGAUUAUUGGGCCUAAAGCAUCCGUAGCCUGCUUUGUUAGUUUUCGGUUAAAUCCAUACGCUCAACGCAUGGGCUGCCGGGAAUACUGCAAAGCUAGGGAGUGGGAGAGGUAGACGGUACUCGGUAGGAAGGGGUAAAAUCCUUUGAUCUAUUGAUGACCACCUGUGGCGAAGGCGGUCUACCAGAACACGUCCGACGGUGAGGGAUGAAAGCUGGGGGAGCAAACCGGAUUAGAUACCCGUGUAGUCC
This 270-nucleotide ribosomal RNA is filed under the name uncultured archaeon. RNAcentral describes it as "partial 16S ribosomal RNA". It matches the Rfam family "Archaeal small subunit ribosomal RNA", at positions 477 to 747 of the family's 1478-position model. The record is from RNAcentral.